RNAcentral lists this ribosomal RNA (483 nucleotides) under Treponema sp. oral taxon 228. Its description in RNAcentral is "bacterial SSU rRNA". It matches the Rfam family "Bacterial small subunit ribosomal RNA", at positions 29 to 495 of the family's 1533-position model. The record is from RNAcentral. Lineage: Bacteria; Pseudomonadati; Spirochaetota; Spirochaetia; Treponematales; Treponemataceae.
AACGAACGCUGGCGGCGCGUCUUAAGCAUGCAAGUCGAACGGCAAGAGAGAAGCUUGCUUCUCUCCUAGAGUGGCGGACUGGUGAGGAACACGUGGGUAAUCUACCCUUAAGAUGGGGAUAGCUGCUAGAAAUAGCAGGUAAUACCGAAUACACUCAGUUUUUCAUAAGAAGGAUUGAGGAAAGGAAGCUACGGCUUCGCUUGAGGAUGAGCUUGCGUCCCAUUAGCUUGUUGGUGAGGUAACGGCCCACCAAGGCGACGAUGGGUAUCCGGCCUGAGAGGGUGAUCGGACACAUUGGGACUGAGAUACGGCCCAAACUCCUACGGGAGGCAGCAGCUAAGAAUAUUCCGCAAUGGACGAAAGUCUGACGGAGCGACGCCGCGUGGAUGAAGAAGGCUGAAAAGUUGUAAAAUCCUUUUGUUGAUGAAGAAUAAGGGUGAGAGGGAAUGUUAUCUGAUGACGGUAAUCAGCGAAUAAGCCCCG